AGCGAACGCUGGCGGCAGGCCCAAUACAUGCAAGUCGAACGGCUCUUCGGAGCAGUGGCGGACGGGUGAGUAACGCGUGGGAAUGUGCCCUUAGGUACGGAACAACACAGGGAAACUUGUGCUAAUACCGUAUGUGCCCUUCGGGGGAAAGAUUUAUCGCCUUUGGAGCAGCCCGCGUUGGAUUAGGUAGUUGGUGAGGUAAAGGCUCACCAAGCCGACGAUCCAUAGCUGGUCUGAGAGGAUGACCAGCCACACUGGGACUGAGACACGGCCCAGACUCCUACGGGAGGCAGCAGUAGGGAAGCUUGCGCAAUGGGCGAAAGCCUGACGCAGCCAUGCCGCGUGUAUGAUGAAGGUCUUAGGAUUGUAAAAUACUUUCACCGGGGAAGAUAAUGACGGUACCCGGAGAAGAAGCCCCGGCUAACUUCGUGCCAGCCGCCGCAGUAA
This 447-nucleotide ribosomal RNA is filed under the name uncultured bacterium. RNAcentral's name for it is "partial 16S ribosomal RNA". It matches the Rfam family "Bacterial small subunit ribosomal RNA", at positions 29 to 523 of the family's 1533-position model. The record is from RNAcentral.